Long non-coding RNA from Patella vulgata (common limpet), 552 nucleotides. RefSeq lists it as uncharacterized. The record is from RefSeq and is a predicted model, not a curated record. NCBI's taxonomy places the organism in Eukaryota, Metazoa, Mollusca, Gastropoda, Patellidae. The transcript has 3 exons.
UUCACCGCGUGCUUCAUGGAAACUAUAAAUAAAAGCGUUUCCCGAUCGUGUUAACAAAGCAAAUGAACAGACAACGACUUGUUAUUCACGUGCAUAUGUACGUCCACUGUGUCAAGUUAAAAUAAUAAUAUAGUUAUUAGUUGAUAUAAAGAUUUUCAUUUUUUCUUCGUCCUAUAAAAAUCAAAAUGGUUGUAGAAUAUACGUCACAGAUAUCUGAUAAAGUACAAUAUAACAGGAAAAGACAUUCUGAUAAUUGUCCUUCAGAAGACGUGAAAAAAAGGAAAGAAGAAUCCACGCCAUUAUCAGUGACAUCCUCAUCGACCGUUGACCACCAUAUUUGGGGUUCCGUUUUCCGGAGUCGACAAGAUUUUGUAGAUCUUCACGUGGCUUAAAUUACGUCAUGUGGUUUUAAUUACGUCAUCGUCAUGCUUGGACGGCAGCCUCUUUAUUUCAAUAGCCUUACAUCUGUACAUAUUCAGCAUCACGUGCAAUAGCUGGACUUUGUUUUGUUGUAGAUUUUGUAAGGGCCAUCAAUAUUGCCUAUUAAUAGAC